UUUCUCCAUCCUAGUAAUCAAAUUUGAGCAAAAUCAAAUGGGGCUUUCUAUGAAAGUACCUUUUGUUGAUCUGAACGAGCUGGUAAUUUACAAAAUACCCUUCCUUUGUGAGGAAGGCUAAAGAAAAAAAGAAUCAGUAGCUUUUAAAGCUGGGCCUUAGUGGGACUCUAAAUGCAAUGAAAGCAGUCUGUGUUGAGAGACUGAAAUGCAUUUCAAAGCCAGGCCUGAUUCGGGGUACAAGGAAGAACAGACCUAUGUGCAUUUUGUAGGAAGAAAACUGUGAAUGGAAAAAGGAGAAGGGGAGAGAAACGGGGGAAAUCUGGAUAAUACAUUAAAGUAACCAUAAUUUUGGAGAUGCAUUCAUCUUAUUGAAAAUAUAUUUCCUCAUGGUUGUGAUUCCUCUUCACUCUUUUGAAUUUGGAAGGAUGGCAUACACAUCUGAAAAAUACCACUACUUCCUUCAUUGGACUGCAAGGUAUUUCUGUUUGGAAAAGUAAUGGAGUCCAGUCAACUUCAUUGAUCGCCAAGGACUGUCAAAAUUAUAAAACUUGCUGUGGAGCUCUGACAUGCCAGAAGCCGCUAGAAAAAGAAGUUUGACAUUCAGAAACUUAUCAAGAGGUUCUACUCUUUGGAUAGAGACCAAAAUCAUACUUUGAAAAAGCCUGACAGGUUUCUUCGGAAAAGUGGCCAUCCAUGGAAUGAAUGAAAUGUUCUCUUUCUAUUCCAGGGAUUGCAGUGGCAAAGCUAGGCUAGGUCUUGGAGGCUGGUGUAAGGCGAUGUGGGUGAAGGCAGGAGGCUGAUGGAAAGACUGGGGGGAAGAAAAGCCGAAAUGGAUUCACGGUGCCUUGGAUGAAGGACGAGAGGGGAACUGCAAGCUCCUUCAACUGGUUCUGUCCGGUGAGAAGUGAUCAAGCUUGGGCUGACAAGAGGCUCAGGGAGCCCUCACGUUCUUUCGCUUUUUUACCUGCCAAUCAAACUGCUACAAGACAACACCCUGAUCUGGCAUGGACAUCGCGGGUCCAAGCCUGUAGCCCCAAAUCGGAUAAUCUCUGCAGCUGAUAACAAGCAAAAGAGAAGCCAGGCAACAGCCAUAUUAAAGAAGAAAACAAUCAACUCUGAGAUCCAACUUAGAAAUAAUGUUUCAUUCAAGAUAAGGCUCGUGGCUUAGGAGAUUGUGACCUGGCUUGCAUCAUUCUAAGACUUCUAUCGUCUGUUUUCAAAACCCAAGGAGGACCUCCUUUUCUGUGUGAUAGUUCCUCAUGCUUUGCCAGCCACUGGGUCUUUAAGGAAGCUUGCCAAGAGUUCCCGGCUGGGAAGGACAGUUCGAGUUCAUCAUAGACAAUGAGCUGGCACCACAGUUUAAGUGACUCACCAACCUGGUUGCCCACUUCAAAAUGUCAAGAACCACACUAUCUAAUUGAAAGAACUGUGUUUUAGCAAAGUGUAAUUGGAUCGCCUGGCAAGAUCAUCUCAAACUAUGUCUCUGACCUUGCCUUUCAGUGGCUAUUUUGAGCACAAGAGGAGAAAGGAAAUGAUUCCUGAAUUAUAUCUUGUUUUUAAAAAUUAAGAUUAAUUAAUACUUGGUUUUAUGUUCAUUCCAUUGUAGGAACUUAGUGAUUAUUACAAAACAGUCAAAAUAGGUCAUAGCAAAAUGAACGUUUAAGAUUAGGUUAAAACAUUCCUCUGAAAUUUUAGUAUUCACUUUUGAAGUGUCAAUUACUAUAUUUCUGUAAUUUCUCAUUUUUUUCUUGGCUUAGAGUCAAGAUGAAAAAUGAUAUUUGAAUCAAAGACAUUGUUUUGUUAUAUAGCCACUCCUUUCUAAAAUGCAAAUCCACCCUCCCCUCACCAAUGCUUUAUUCUUUGUGCGCGCACACACACACACACACACACACACACACACACACACACACAGACAUACACAGAACCAGCACCCAAAUGGUAGAGGAGGUCCUUCCAAGACUUCUAGGACCUGGAUCAUGUAAGCAGUAGAUGAGAAAAUGAAGUAAGAGAUAUAGAGUAAUAACAAUAAAAGUCAAUGAUUUCAUUUUACAAAAAAGUCAUUGUGUAGUACUCAGAUAUUUUUAAGAGCAAGUAUUAUUAUGACUAAAGUAUAUUAUACUUCUAAAUUAUUAUGAUUCUCAUCUAAUUUCAAGCCACACAUAGGCGCCAUUUGAAAGCAUUUUGUGUUACAACCUAUCAACAAAAAUCAACUAAUAGUUUUAUAACGUGCAUAGGUUUACCCCAUGGGGAAUUAAAAUUUUUAUCUGCAAGUAUUUCUGUUGUUGUGAGACUUUAGGACAAGACAACAUUUGGUGUUAACAUAGAAGAAUAUUCUAUGGCUUUUUUAGCUUUAAAGUUCAUUACUCUAAAAUAAAGUACACGUGGUAUUUUUUUCUUCCUAGUGUUCUCUUAUUAUAUGUAGAGUAUUUUCGGUUGUUGUUUUUAACGUAUACAUUAUUUUUAUUAAGUCAUUUCAUAAAAGAUAAGAUAUAUACUAAUAGACCCUUGGUUUUCUCCUAAUUUAAUUAUUUCAAGUCAAGCAAAAUUGGGCAAUUUUCUUUCAGGAAAAAAAAAAUAUUGAGCAUGAUUUUGAGGUAAAACUGAUUAUUUACAGCAUCUUUUCUCUAAUAGGCUAACAUUUAUGAUGGAUCUUAUUUCAAAGUUGAUUAUUCUCAAAGAAAAGUGGAGAUAUUAGAAUUUCCGAGUAAAUUGCAUUGUUUUAAAAAGUACUUUAAUGCAUUGUUCACAUUGUUGCCAGCUAUUGACCAAAAAAGAGAAGAAGAAAAAAGAAAUAAAAAAAGCAGUAUCUGCUCCAAACGUCAAGUUUUGCAGUUUGAAAGACUUGUACAUUAUAAUUGUUUUUUUCUUUUUUGGAAAGCAGUAGUAAUUAAUACCAAAGGCAUAGACAAUUUAGGGCCAUAACCUCCCUUCCCCCCUCUCCACCUUUUUUUUUUUUUUUUUUUUUUUUUAACUUUAACCAUGAUAGGCAUCUCUGCAAGGUAGGUUUUAACAUAUUUUUUUCCUAAUUUUUUUCCCUCCAUUCAGUAAGAAGGAUAAGCUUUUAGAGUACCCAGUCACCGUGGUAACUGCCAAAAAAAUUCUCCUGAAGUUUGAAGAGGUCAGCUAGCAGGGUCAACAACCCUGGCCUCUCUCUGAGCUCGGUCUAGCAUGCCCCAGCCUGCGGUUGGAGUGUCAGGCCAGAUCUGACCCUGGGAGGUGGACCAUUCUGGCUCUGAUAUAAAUUUUUCGAGUCAGUUCAUGGCCUGGACUCUCCAGGUGGCCUCCAAAAUCGAUUUUGACCCCCUGACCCUGUCUCACGGAGGCAUAGCAUCCACCCUAAGUAAGGAUUUAGCCAGGAAUGACAGCUUUCCACUGAGUGUUAUUGGGGACAGUAUAAACAGUUUGGAAAGCAAGUAAGGAGGUGUGAGGGCUAGCAAUCAUUAAAAGCACAUUAAAAAACAAUUUUUAAAAAUCUUUAUUAGAGAAAGUUGUAAAUGCAUAUCUGUUACAGAAUUCCUGUGAUUUGUAGAGUUUUCUAGUCAGUUUUGAAUAUAAAUAGGUCACAUAUCUUUAUCUUUUUGCAUACUUUGUUACAAAUAUGCAAAUAAGAUAGGCAUACUUGCUACAAAAUAGGUACAGCAGGAAUGUAAUAUGUUCAGAAAAGGCAAACUGGUUAUUAAAACACAUUAACAGGUAAGGAGUUUCUAAUAUUUUAAAUACUAAAAUUUUACAUGUGUAUUUUGAAGUUUUUAAAAUGGAAAAAUAAAGAACCUUUAAAAAACCCAACAGUGUGGAAUAAAGAUAAACUUGUUGCACUCAAGGUACAUUUCUACUUUGUAAAGCAAGAAGCCAAUACACUCAGUUGGAUAAAAAUGAGAGAAAAAUUGUAAAUAUAGAGAGUUACAGCUUAUAGAGCUGAAGAGGAAUAAAACAAAAAAAAGUGUCUCUGAAUAACUUUAUGUAUUUUCAACAGUUUAAGAUAUCAGAAACUUGGAAAAUAAAUAUGAUAUAUAUAUAAAUCAUCA
RNAcentral lists this long non-coding RNA (4025 nucleotides) under Homo sapiens (human). RNAcentral's name for it is "PREDICTED lncRNA (TCONS_00189003)". The stretch from base 737 to 1012 matches the Rfam family "SOX2 overlapping transcript exon 3". The record is from RNAcentral. Lineage: Eukaryota; Metazoa; Chordata; Mammalia; Primates; Hominidae.